Molecule: ribosomal RNA, 158 nt
Filed under: Rhizophagus intraradices
Lineage: Eukaryota; Fungi; Glomeromycota; Glomeromycetes; Glomerales; Glomeraceae
Description: 5.8S ribosomal RNA
Rfam family: 5.8S ribosomal RNA
About the family: 5.8S ribosomal RNA (5.8S rRNA) is a component of the large subunit of the eukaryotic ribosome. It is transcribed by RNA polymerase I as part of the 45S precursor that also contains 18S and 28S rRNA.
Source: RNAcentral
UCACUUUCAACAACGGAUCUCUUGGCUCUCGUAUCGAUGAAGAACGUAGCGAAGUGCGAUAAGUAAUGUGAAUUGCAGAAUUCCAUGAAUCAUCGAAUCUUUGAACGCAAAUUGCACUCUCUGGUAACCCGGGGAGUAUGCCUGUUUGAGGGUCAGUG